ACAUUUGAUUCCUUUGGGGUUCAUUUUUAUACGAUUUCCACCAUUCAAGACUUCCAGGGCGUGGGCUUGUUGUUUUCGCAGCGUCUCGUGCAACCCGAAAAUUUGGUCUCGCACCUGUUGCUGCACUCCCUCUUCUUCUGGAAGGGAAGUUUUUUGCAGCCCAACUGACAGUUAUUGCGUGAUGUUGCACAUCCCACCUUACAGGCAACAGCCAGCGUGGUGGACACCAUCAUUCCCACCAAGAGAAGCGUCGUCAACAGUCUGGUCUGAAAGAAUUCAAAGACUAGUGAACAGUUUACAUUCACAACAGAUCUGAGAUUUGUAACAGCAUCAAGGAACAAUGAAUACCAGACUGUUGGCGACGCUUCUGUUGGUGGGACUGAUGGUGUCCACCACGCUGGCUGUCACCUGUAAGGUGGGAUGUCAGAAGUCACGUAACGUAUGUCAGUUGGGCUGCAGAAACCUUCCCUACCUGAAGAAAAGGCAGUGCAGCAAUAAGUGCGAGAUAACCUUAUCGAUUUGUGAGAGGAGCUGUAAAAACAACAGGCCCACGCCCUGGAAAUCUUAGAUAGUGGAAAACAUGUAAAAAACCAACAACAACAAAAUCCCAGGGAAUUAUAUGUGUUCGAAAUUUUUCUUAAUAACAAUAAAGAAUAUGCCGUUUCA
Molecule: long non-coding RNA, 666 nt
Organism: Ostrea edulis (European flat oyster)
Lineage: Eukaryota; Metazoa; Mollusca; Bivalvia; Ostreida; Ostreidae
Exons: 3
Source: RefSeq, a predicted model, not a curated record